GUGCUUACUUCUGCAGCACAUAUACUAAAAUUGGAAUGACACAGAGAUUAGCAUGGCCCCUAUGUAAGAAUGGCAUGCAAAUUCGCGAAGCAUUCCAUAUUUUU
Molecule: small nuclear RNA, 104 nt
Organism: Oryctolagus cuniculus (rabbit)
Lineage: Eukaryota; Metazoa; Chordata; Mammalia; Lagomorpha; Leporidae
Source: Ensembl